This is a non-coding RNA of Malaclemys terrapin pileata, 1431 nucleotides long. The record is from the annotation of a RefSeq genome assembly. Lineage: Eukaryota; Metazoa; Chordata; Testudines; Emydidae.
GGUCUAUUUCAUCGCGUGACUUUUCAUUCAACCCAGUUCUCCUGCCGCCGCCUGAGCGCGCCCCCGACAGACACCGCGGCCCGUCUUGGAGCACCGGGUGAAGGGCAGAUGCAGAGGAGAGAGACGCAGAGGGAGGUUUCUGCUGUUCACCCCAGGGGUCACUCACAGCUCGAGUUCCGGCAGUAGCAUCAGUGCAGGUUAUUCACUGCUCGCCACUCCGCACGAUAAGUCUCUCUCUGGCUUGUAGCUGCGGGGAAAAGGCGGAGCUCUCCUCUGGCUGAUUCCCACGGCGGUCAGACAGACAGAAAAGGGAUUGAGAGACGCUGCUAUUCUGCUGUGAAGAUGGGAACGAUCCCGGGCUCGGGGGUUGUGCUGAUUUUUCUUCUGAUGGCCCCGGGCAGAGCCAAGAUCCAGCAGCCGGGCUCCGCAGAAGGUUUGGAGGGAGCCGAACUGAACCUCGCCUGCUCUCACCCCUCAAUCAAGACGAAUGAGAAUGUAGUUUGGUACCGGCAGUUCCCGAACCAAGGACCCCAAUACAUAGUUUCUGGAUUCCGGGAAACUACUCAUAGCACCGACCCCGAGGGAGCUUUGCAUGUUUCUGGAGACAGAAAGUCCAGCGCCCUGGCCCUGCGCAGGGUGCGGCUGGCGGACGCAGCGGUGUAUUAUUGUGCUCUGAGCGACACAGUGGGACCGCCAGGGGCUGGUCCCGUACAAUAAGUAUCUCACUGAGGCCUGUGUGUGCGUAGGCGGUGGGAGGGGUGAAUGUGGAGUGUGUUUCCAUGAGGGGGAGGGCAGAGGGGCGAUUAGGGGAGAUAAAAGAGAUGAAUAAAACAUUUGGGGCCAAAUUUUCCAAGGUCUUGGUGCGCCUAACUAUUUACUUAGGAGACAAAUGAGAUUUGAUCCUUUGGAAACGUUCUAAGAAAAUCUGCUUCAGGGAGAACUAUGAAGCACAGUAAAUGAAAAGAAACAAACCUUUCCCAUUACAUCUGCAAGGAGGCUAUUUUGAUAGAGAGAUGAAUGGAUAGAGUCAGCGCUGUUGUAGCCCCGUUGGAGGCAGGAAUAUUAGACAGACGAGGUGGGAGAGAGAAUAUAUUUUAUUGGACCAACUUCUUUUGGUAAGAAAAACAGCUACAGACGUUGGUCCAAUAGAAUAUAUUACCUCACCCACCUUGUCUGGAAAGAUUAGAUAAGGAGAGAAGGAGAGGGAGAGAUGAGAGGCAGAGACAGAGAGAUGAUGAAGAGAGAGAGAGAGAGAGAGAUGCUGGAGAGAGAUAACACAAGACCAUCCUCGAAUUGCAUUUGUGAAAUGGACACAAAUAUUACUAGAAAAAAAUGACUGGGAAGUUUAGCAAAUACUAUUCUGCAAACGAAUUUUCCCCAGACAGGAAGUAAGCACAUAUGGAGUCUAAAUUAAUAAAAUUUCACUAAACA